GUGUGCCAGCAGCGUACUUCGGAGAAGUUCUGAAGGCACCACCAGUCCUGAGGCGAUUUUACGCUGUGAAAAUCCUACCGGACGCUUUAGAAGAAGUACUUAAGCUGCUGCUUAAGCAAGGAUCAUAUUCGCUCAACAACUUCACCGUCUUCUCAUCAUGGACUGAAAACGCCACCUCACGUUUCAACGUCCUGGAAGACUGCCUCAUGAAGGCAUACAUGGACAGGCUUCUCGCGCCUCUUAACUACACGGUUUUGAAAACCAAUUUCCCUUGGGUGUUGGCCGAGAUCGUCGGAGCACGAUUGGCCCUCGAUCUUUAUCUCGAGCUUUACAAGAAGAUUACUGCGAAAGCUAGCCCAAAUGACUCCGGAAUAUUCGUGCGUGGCUUCAGCCCUUUCAGAGCCCAGCAAAUGGCGUUCAUCUUUUACGCUGAG
Molecule: long non-coding RNA, 434 nt
Organism: Rhipicephalus sanguineus (brown dog tick)
Lineage: Eukaryota; Metazoa; Arthropoda; Arachnida; Ixodida; Ixodidae
Exons: 5
Source: RefSeq, a predicted model, not a curated record